RNAcentral lists this ribosomal RNA (253 nucleotides) under uncultured bacterium. Its description in RNAcentral is "partial 16S ribosomal RNA". It matches the Rfam family "Bacterial small subunit ribosomal RNA", at positions 524 to 776 of the family's 1533-position model. The record is from RNAcentral.
UACGUAGGUGGCAAGCGUUAUCCGGAUUUAUUGAGCGUAAAGAGAACGCAGGCGGUCUUUUAAGUCUGAUGUGAAAGCCUUCGGCUUAACCGGAGUAGUGCAUUGGAAACAGGGAGACUUGAGUGCAGAAGAGGAGAGUGGAACUCCAUGUGUAGCGGUGAAAUGCGUAGAUAUAUGGAAGAACACCAGUGGCGAAAGCGGCUCUCUGGUCUGUAACUGACGCUGAGGUUCGAAAGCGUGGGUAGCAAACAGG